AUGCAGCACGCGCGUCACGGCGCCGGUGAUGAUAUGCAACACUUGUCGAAGCUUGACGGCGUUGCUAUGCACCACUCGCCGGUGCUAUCAGUGCUGCUAUGCAGCAGCAUGCCCACCGUUGCAGAGGCUGCCGGUGCUGCGGUGGAGGCACUAGUGUCGCCGGAGCAGCGGUGCUGCUGCACUGCAUCAACGGUGGGGCGGCGCUGCAAAGUCUCAUGGUGUCUCCGACGAUGCAGGCCGAUGGCCGGCGUCGCUGCUGCAGAGAGUUGGCGCAGUGUUUCAUCGCUGGGCUUUUUCCUUGGCGUAGAUGCGAGAAAGGGGGAAGAGAGAAGCGUCCCACAUCGUUUGGAUCGAACGACUACGCGAGCUUGA
RNAcentral lists this ribosomal RNA (372 nucleotides) under Triticum aestivum (bread wheat). RNAcentral describes it as "partial small subunit ribosomal RNA". Lineage: Eukaryota; Viridiplantae; Streptophyta; Magnoliopsida; Poales; Poaceae. The record is from RNAcentral.